AUGUCUUGCUGCGGAGGAAGCUGCGGCUGCGGCAGCGCCUGCAAGUGCGGCAACGGCUGCGGCGGCUGCAACAUGUACCCGGAGGCUGAGGCCGCCGGCGCCACCCUCCUCGUCUCUGCCACCGCCACCCACAAGGCGAGCUCCAGCGGGAUGGAGAUGGCGGCGGAGAACGGCGGCUGCGGCUGCACCCAGUGCAAGUGCGGCACCAGCUGCGGCUGCUCCUGCUGCAGCUGCUAG
This 237-nucleotide ribosomal RNA is filed under the name Triticum aestivum (bread wheat). RNAcentral describes it as "partial small subunit ribosomal RNA". The record is from RNAcentral. Lineage: Eukaryota; Viridiplantae; Streptophyta; Magnoliopsida; Poales; Poaceae.